CAACAAGAUCCCUUGUUCAUAACCUUGAAAUGUUUCAGAAGAAACAAAAGGGAAAAGAAAGAAACCAAUGUAAUACAAGAAGAAGAAAAGAUUGAAGGCCCCCAAGCGAAGUUGAUAAUAAGAGACUGGGAACCAAAAGCUGGAAUAACAAUGAUUAAUCAGAAUCUUUUUUUAUUAUAAUCUUCUCCUUCUCUGUCUCUCUGUCUCAAUUAUUUUAUCAUCAUUAUGUUACUUUUUCCAUCGGUGGAAUAGUAUACGAACUCCAUUGGCGAUCGUAACAGUUUGUAUUUGUAUGAUAGAGUUAAAUUAUUUAUAUUUUA
Molecule: non-coding RNA, 320 nt
Organism: Camelina sativa (false flax)
Lineage: Eukaryota; Viridiplantae; Streptophyta; Magnoliopsida; Brassicales; Brassicaceae
Source: RefSeq, a predicted model, not a curated record